Molecule: ribosomal RNA, 230 nt
Filed under: uncultured bacterium
Lineage: Bacteria
Description: partial 16S ribosomal RNA
Rfam family: Bacterial small subunit ribosomal RNA
Source: RNAcentral
AAAGCGCGCGCAGGUGGUUUGUUAAGUUGGAUGUGAAAGCCCCGGGCUCAACCUGGGAACUGCAUCCAAAACUGGCAAGCUAGAGUAUGGUAGAGGGUGGUGGAAUUUCCUGUGUAGCGGUGAAAUGCGUAGAUAUAGGAAGGAACACCAGUGGCGAAGGCGACCACCUGGACUGAUACUGACACUGAGGUGCGAAAGCGUGGGGAGCAAACAGGAUUAGAUACCCUAGU